Phytophthora infestans T30-4 is the source of this 345-nucleotide ribosomal RNA. The record is from RefSeq and is a predicted model, not a curated record. NCBI's taxonomy places the organism in Eukaryota, Oomycota, Peronosporomycetes, Peronosporales, Peronosporaceae.
CAUCCCUGAGUUGCUCGUGCGUACGAUCCGUUUUCUUUGAGUCGCGUUGUUUGGGAAUGCAGCGCAAAGUAGGUGGUAAACUCCAUCAAAAGCCGAAUAUUGGUGCGAGACCGAUAGCGAACAAGUACCGUGAGGGAAAGAUGAAAGUAACUUUGAAAAGAGAGUUAAGGAGUACCUGAAACUGCUGAAAGGGAACCGAAUCGUUUACAGUGUCUAUAAUCCGCGGUAUAUUGCAUUGGCGAGUGUGUACAUACGUGUGCUGUGACAGCGGCUUUUUUGGCUGCGCUCGGCGUGUGUGCUGUGUGUACUUGCUGGUGCCCUGUGCUGCGGUGGUACGCCAAGGUC